AACGCACAUUGCGCCCCCUGGCAUUCCGGGGGGCACGCCUGUCCGAGCGCCGUUUUACCACCUCGAGCCCAGCUCGGCGUUGGACCCCGCCCCGGUUCGCCUGGGGCGCCGUCCGAAAUGCAUAGGCGCCCGGCCCCGGGAACCCCAGCACAGCGGAAACACUCGCUGGGGAGCUCGCGGCCGCGGCGGCCAACGAACCACCACAUGUAACGAUUGGCCUCGGAUCAGGCGGGGAUACCCGCUGAACUUAA
Molecule: unclassified non-coding RNA, 251 nt
Filed under: Zeloasperisporium sp.
Lineage: Eukaryota; Fungi; Ascomycota; Dothideomycetes
Also listed under: 1 other name
Description: partial contains 5.8S ribosomal RNA, internal transcribed spacer 2, and large subunit ribosomal RNA
Source: RNAcentral